Non-coding RNA from Cinara cedri, 84 nucleotides. The record is from the annotation of a GenBank genome assembly. Lineage: Eukaryota; Metazoa; Arthropoda; Insecta; Hemiptera; Aphididae.
GUUAAACUGUAGCAGUGGCGAUUGCCACUGCUACUGUUAUAUAUGUAUAUAACUGUAGCAGUGGCGAUUGCCACUGCUACUGUU